AAGAAAAAUAAACCGUGGUUUCCAUGCCCAAUGUUCGACCGUUCUUCUUAUCUUCUUUUUAUUAUCUUUGUUAUUUCUUAAGACAAUUCACGCAUAUAAUAUUAAUCAUGUUUUAUCAUCUAACAAUAAUGAAAAUACGAAUUAUAAAAAAAUUUCAUAUAAAACGGAUAGUCAAAGAUGGACACGGAAACCCAGGAUUUGCCUUUUU
This is a microRNA precursor of Oryza sativa Indica Group (long-grained rice), 208 nucleotides long. It matches the Rfam family "MIR812 microRNA precursor family". The record is from Rfam. Lineage: Eukaryota; Viridiplantae; Streptophyta; Magnoliopsida; Poales; Poaceae.